RNAcentral lists this transfer RNA (73 nucleotides) under Aenigmachanna gollum. RNAcentral's name for it is "tRNA-Trp". It matches the Rfam family "tRNA". From Rfam's summary of the family: Transfer RNA (tRNA) molecules are approximately 80 nucleotides in length. Their secondary structure includes four short double-helical elements and three loops (D, anti-codon, and T loops). The record is from RNAcentral. Lineage: Eukaryota; Metazoa; Chordata; Actinopteri; Anabantiformes; Aenigmachannidae.
AAAGACUUAGGAUAACAUCACAAACCAAGGACCUUCAAAGUCCUAAAUGGGGGUGAAAGCCCCUCAGUCUUUG